Molecule: ribosomal RNA, 439 nt
Filed under: uncultured bacterium
Lineage: Bacteria
Description: partial 16S ribosomal RNA
Rfam family: Bacterial small subunit ribosomal RNA
Source: RNAcentral
CUACGGGGCGCUGCAGUGGGGAAUAUUGGGCAAUGGGCGAAAGCCUGACCCAGCAACGCCGCGUGAAGGAAGAAGGCUUUCGGGUCGUAAACUUCUAUCCUAGGUGAAGAUAAAGACGGUAGCCUAGAAGGAAGCCCCGGCUAACUACGUGCCAGCAGCCGCGGUAAUACGUAGGGGGCAAGCGUUGUCCGGAAUGAUUGGGCGUAAAGGGCGCGUAGGCGGCCAUGUAAGUCCGAUGUGAAAGUCCUGCUUUUAAGGUGGGAAUUGCAUUGGAAACUGCGUGGCUUGAGUGCAGGAGAGGUAAGCGGAAUUCCCGGUGUAGCGGUGAAAUGCGUAGAGAUCGGGAGGAACACCAGUGGCGAAGGCGGCUUACUGGACUGUAACUGACGCUGAGGCGCGAAAGUGUGGGGAGCAAACAGGAUUAGAUACCCCCGUAGUC